RNAcentral lists this ribosomal RNA (497 nucleotides) under uncultured bacterium. RNAcentral describes it as "partial 16S ribosomal RNA". It matches the Rfam family "Bacterial small subunit ribosomal RNA", at positions 28 to 507 of the family's 1533-position model. The record is from RNAcentral.
GACGAACGCUGGCGGCGUGCCUAAUACAUGCAAGUUGAGCGCUGAAGGUUGGUACUUGUACCAACUGGAUGAGCAGCGAACGGGUGAGUAACGCGUGGGGAAUCUGCCUUUGAGCGGGGGACAACAUUUGGAAACGAAUGCUAAUACCGCAUAAAAACUUUAAACACAAGUUUUAAGUUUGAAAGAUGCAAUUGCAUCACUCAAAGAUGAUCCCGCGUUGUAUUAGCUAGUUGGUGAGGUAAAGGCUCACCAAGGCGAUGAUACAUAGCCGACCUGAGAGGGUGGUCGGCCACAUUGGGACUGAGACACGGCCCAAACUCCUACGGGAGGCAGCAGUAGGGAAUCUUCGGCAAUGGACGAAAGUCUGACCGAGCAACGCCGCGUGAGUGAAGAAGGUUUUCGGAUCGUAAAACUCGGUUGGUAGAGAAGAACGUUGGUGAGAGUGGAAAGCUCAUCAAGUGACGGUAACUACCCAGAAAGGGACGGCUAACUACGUG